This 253-nucleotide ribosomal RNA is filed under the name uncultured bacterium. Its description in RNAcentral is "partial 16S ribosomal RNA". It matches the Rfam family "Bacterial small subunit ribosomal RNA", at positions 524 to 776 of the family's 1533-position model. The record is from RNAcentral.
UACAGAGACUGCAAGCGUUAUCCGGAAUCAUUGGGUUUAAAGGGUCCGUAGGCGGUUUAGUAAGUCAGUGGUGAAAGCCCAUCGCUCAACGAUGGAACGGCCAUUGAUACUGCUAGACCUGAAUUACUAGGAAGUAACUAGAAUAUGUAGUGUAGCGGUGAAAUGCUUAGAUAUUACAUGGAAUACCAAUUGCGAAGGCAGGUUACUACUAGUGGAUUGACGCUGAUGGACGAAAGCGUGGGGAGCGAACAGG